RNAcentral lists this transfer RNA (72 nucleotides) under Ictidomys tridecemlineatus (thirteen-lined ground squirrel). RNAcentral's name for it is "Spermophilus tridecemlineatus (thirteen-lined ground squirrel) tRNA". It matches the Rfam family "tRNA". From Rfam's summary of the family: Transfer RNA (tRNA) molecules are approximately 80 nucleotides in length. Their secondary structure includes four short double-helical elements and three loops (D, anti-codon, and T loops). The record is from Rfam by way of RNAcentral. Lineage: Eukaryota; Metazoa; Chordata; Mammalia; Rodentia; Sciuridae.
GGAGGUAUAGCUCAGUGGUAGAGCACUUGCCUACCAUGUGUGAGGCCCUGGCUUCUAUUCCCAGUACCACAC